Molecule: ribosomal RNA, 494 nt
Filed under: uncultured bacterium
Lineage: Bacteria
Description: partial 16S ribosomal RNA
Rfam family: Bacterial small subunit ribosomal RNA
Source: RNAcentral
GACGAACGCUGGCGGCGUGCCUAAUACAUGCAAGUCGAGCGGACUUAAAAAGCUUGCUUUUUAAGUUAGCGGCGGACGGGUGAGUAACACGUGGGCAACCUGCCUGUAAGACUGGGAUAACUUCGGGAAACCGGAGCUAAUACCGGAUAAUCCUUUUCUACUCAUGUAGAAAAGCUGAAAGACGGUUUACGCUGUCACUUACAGAUGGGCCCGCGGCGCAUUAGCUAGUUGGUGAGGUAACGGCUCACCAAGGCGACGAUGCGUAGCCGACCUGAGAGGGUGAUCGGCCACGCUGGGACUGAGACACGGCCCAGACUCCUACGGGAGGCAGCAGUAGGGAAUCUUCCGCAAUGGACGAAAGUCUGACGGAGCAACGCCGCGUGAGUGAUGAAGGUUUUCGGAUCGUAAAACUCUGUUGUUAGGGAAGAACAAGUACGAGAGUAACUGCUCGUACCUUGACGGUACCUAACCAGAAAGCCACGGCUAACUACGUG